Raphanus sativus (radish) is the source of this 628-nucleotide long non-coding RNA. RefSeq lists it as uncharacterized. The transcript is spliced from 3 exons. Lineage: Eukaryota; Viridiplantae; Streptophyta; Magnoliopsida; Brassicales; Brassicaceae. The record is from RefSeq and is a predicted model, not a curated record.
GAUGGAGCUCUUAGGGAGGACAAGCUGCUGAUUCCAUUUCCUUCAUUUGUGAUCUUGGUUCUUCUCACAUUCUAUUCUCCAUCCACAAGAGUUAAAAUUAUACUUGUAGAUGUAGCUCUUAAGGAGGACGAGCCUCUGAUUCCACUUCCUUCAUUUGUGAUCUUGGUUCUUCUCACAUUCUCUUCUCCAUCCACAAGAGUUAAAAUUUCGUUCAGAAAUACACAAAAUCGAAAGGAGAUAUACGCAUAUCAGCUGGGAAAUUUGAACAGGAGAAGGAUUCGACAUCUGAUCCACGGUGUGUGAGAGAGAGACGAGAUGACGAUUGCGUGAGAGAGAGAAUCCGUGUGUUAGCUCGUCGGAGAUCUCAACGGAACGAUGACGAUGACUUUCGAUGACGACGACUACGACGAUGAUGAUGGCUUUCGAUGACGACGAUGACGCGACGGAUCCGGAGGAGAGAAACGAUGGUCUCGACAGAGAGAAGAAGGUAACGACGGAGAGAGGUGAUAUGUUAGAGAUAAAGUAGGGUUAAUUUAGUCUUUUUCACACUACUGAAAAGUGUAUUUGUGAAAAUGUCCCUAAAGUGGUGGUAAAUUUGAAUUGUGGUACUACACAAAGUGUAGUUAUG